CCACCAAGCAGCUGGUCUGUCCCAGGAGAGGCCUGGGCAGAAGGGCGUGGCCUAAAACCACCAAGCAGCUGGUCUGUUCCAGGAGAGGCAUGGGGGAGAAGGGCGUGGCCUAAAACCAAGCAGCCGGUCUGUCCCAGUUUGGCUUCCGCUGCUGAGAUAAAACACUGAUAUCAGCUUGGGAAGGAAAGGGGUUACUGCCUCUUACAAUCCAGGUCACUGCACAACUCUGAGGGAGGUCAAGGCAGGAACUCAAGGAGGAAGAGCAAACUAAGCACGGCCUUAAAAGGAAGAAACGAAACUACGCACGCUUAUACCUGUCCUUCCAGCACUGAGCCAGGAAGAUGGCCAUGAGUUCAAGCCUGGGCUCCGUAGUGCGUUCUAGACCAGCCUCAGUGAGAGAGUAAGACCCUGUCUCAAAAGGAUGGUGAUCAUGAUAACGGGCGGAAGAAACAGGAUUCCCUGCAUAGCGCUGGAUUUGCCUCCCUAGUUUCCCCACUGUGCAGGAAUUAAAGCCAAGAGCCAGCCAACACCGGAGUUACCAGGAGUCACCAGCAGGUGGAACCGGUCACCACCACACAGGGCUGAGGGACCAACCACACCACACCCCAAAAUGUACCAGCAAUUAAUCCAGCUCCAGUGCAGACAAAAACAGGUGAUUCAAUAGUGUGUGUGGCCGAGGCCCUCUCUCUCCUAUGGGAGAGUUGACGGGUGAUUCCUACCUGAGGUGAAGGGAGAGACAAUCCAAACGCAGAAGGCCAGAGCAUCCUCAGAGGCCUGGAAGACUGAGACGCAGCCCAGUAUGCUUUGUACUCGCUGCCCCACCGUGGAAAAAGAAAGGAGAGCACUUGAUGCUCUGGGCCUGGGACCUGGAGGUACACAUGACUAGACAUAGA
This is a long non-coding RNA of Mastomys coucha (southern multimammate mouse), 893 nucleotides long. RefSeq lists it as uncharacterized. The transcript has 2 exons. NCBI's taxonomy places the organism in Eukaryota, Metazoa, Chordata, Mammalia, Rodentia, Muridae. The record is from RefSeq and is a predicted model, not a curated record.